CGUCGCUGGGUCUAAAGGGCCGUUCAGCAGCCAUAAAAGCAGAGCUUUAAGGCAAACGAGCGGCGUGAUGAGCCUCCUGUCGAGGGGAUAUGAAGAGGACUUUCUCCUUCCGAGGAAAACACACAGUACAAGCAGACUCAGAGUCCACAUGCUGCAGGGAAGAGAGGAGCCUGUAAACAUCAUCUCUGCCCUUUGACCCACUUACGUCACCUUUAAAUCAUUUUAUGUCAACAGCAGCACUUCACACAUGAUAUAAACAUAAUUGUAAUGGAAGUGUUGUAACCCAAAACACAUAUUAUCUGCAUGUGGGCCGGGAAGGCUUUCUUUAUAAAACAGAUCGGGACGAGUAAACAUCAGGGAAAAUGUUCCAUCAACAUCAGAGGCUUUUAGACGUGAACUGACGAUAAUAGGAGCGAUUCCGUCUUCUGCGCCAGGUAACGGACGCUCUGGGCGUUUAGAGAUGCGUCCAAGGAUAAAGCGGUUGCCACGAAAGACCAUCUGGACACUGGACACUCAGAGGUGAGGGUUCAUUUCAACGGGACGAAUACUGAUGAGAGACAGGGCGAUCUGUGGGAGAUGUGGCUAAAAGGUGCUCAGAGCUGCACGCAGCGGAUCCGUCCCGCUAACGACGGCCCGACCGCGGGAAUGCAAAUGAAUGAUAAAUCAUGCAGAGGCGCGAGUCCCGCGAGGCGAGCGGCGCUCCCUGCUGACGCCACCGCCGAGGGUCGCUGACGCGUGGCCGGACCUGCUCAGGCCGCUCCCGGAGGCACCGAGCAGAGGCGAUGGCACCGGCAGAUAAGGGCGAAGCGCUGUGAUGUGGCAACACGUCUGUUAGAGCAAGGCGAGCGUGCUGUUUUGCAAACAGGAACACGGGCGGUUGCUCCAGAGCGGCCGCGCUCAGACGAGACACAAAACGGUCGGAUUUGGGGAAGAUUUCACCUUCAGCGCAACUAACAACCAAGGUGACCAAACGUUCCUAUUUCACCGCGAGCACAGAAGAAGAUGAUACCGCCUUAAUUAGGAAUGCACAAAUGCACAAACAACAGCGAGCAGCAUCAGCGGUGCUCCGCCGUCAGACGCCCCUCCUCUGCAGGGACGUGCGGGUCACGGAGACCAACGAGCAGACGCCGCGAUGCCUUUGAGGACCGUCUGACUUUAGCGUGAAUAAAACAUGCCGCGGCAUGUUGGGAGCGAC
Long non-coding RNA from Betta splendens (Siamese fighting fish), 1195 nucleotides. RefSeq lists it as uncharacterized. The transcript has 3 exons. Lineage: Eukaryota; Metazoa; Chordata; Actinopteri; Anabantiformes; Osphronemidae. The record is from RefSeq and is a predicted model, not a curated record.